Molecule: ribosomal RNA, 398 nt
Filed under: uncultured bacterium
Lineage: Bacteria
Description: partial 16S ribosomal RNA
Rfam family: Bacterial small subunit ribosomal RNA
Source: RNAcentral
AAUAUUGCACAAUGGAGGAAACUCUGAUGCAGCGACGCAGCGUGAACGAUGAAGGCUUUCGCGUCGUAAAGUUCUGUCCUAGGGGACGACAAUGACGGUACCCUAGGAGGAAGCCCCGGCCAACUACGUGCCAGCCGCCGCGGUAAUACGUCGGGGGCAAGCGUUGUCCGGAUUUAUUGGGCGUAAAGGGUUCGUAGGCGGCCUUUUAAGUCAGAUGCGAUAGACUACAGCUCAACGGUGGUAAGCAGUUGAAACCGAAAUGCUUGAGUUAAGGAGAUGAAAGUGGAAUACCUAGUGUAGCGGAGAAAUGCGUAGAUAUUAGGAGGAAUACCAGUGAAUAAGGCAACUUACUGAACUUAUAAUGACGCUAAGCGACGAAAGCAUGGAGAGCAGACAAG